UCUAAAGAUUGAAACGUUUAAUCAGUGCUAAUAAUUGUAAAACUUUUGUUUUCUCAACAUGAAGUUUUUUAGUAUUUUUAUCUUCAUUGCCUUCUUCUGUUUGACUACGGCUAACCCACAAUAUUAUAAUGAAGAAGUGGUAAAUGAAUUCAACAGAUAUAAGGCCGUCAAUGCUCGCAAUGUUUUCCCACGCCGACAAUCUAUUCAAAAAUUACAAUAUAUUGAAGGAGAUGAAUCUUUCCCAUAAGAGAUGUAAACUAUCCAAAAAUGAAAAAAAAGCAUUUUUAAAAUUAGAACGAAAUAAAAAAAUACG
Long non-coding RNA from Eupeodes corollae, 313 nucleotides. RefSeq lists it as uncharacterized. Lineage: Eukaryota; Metazoa; Arthropoda; Insecta; Diptera; Syrphidae. The transcript has 2 exons. The record is from RefSeq and is a predicted model, not a curated record.